RNAcentral lists this ribosomal RNA (392 nucleotides) under uncultured bacterium. Its description in RNAcentral is "partial 16S ribosomal RNA". It matches the Rfam family "Bacterial small subunit ribosomal RNA", at positions 523 to 918 of the family's 1533-position model. The record is from RNAcentral.
AUACGGAGGAUGCGAGCGUUAUCCGGAUUUAUUGGGUUUAAAGGGUGCGUAGGCUGUGCGUUAAGUCAGGGGUGAGAUGCCGUCGCUCAACGACGGAGUUGCCCUUGAUACUGGCGUGCUGGAGUACGGAUGCCGUUGGAGGAAUGAGUGGUGUAGCGGUGAAAUGCUAGAUAUCACUCAGAACACCGAUUGCGAAGGCAUCUGACGAAUCCGUCACUGGCGCUGAGGCACGAAAGCGUGGGGAUAGAACAGGAUUAGAUACCCUGGUAUUCCACGCCGUAAACGAUGAUGACUAACCGUCGGCGAUAGACAGCCGGUGGCCAGGCGAAAGCGAUAAGUCAUCCACCUGGGGAGUACGUCGGCAACGAUGAAACUCAAAUGAAUUGACGGGG